GAUGAACGCUGGCGGCGUGCCUAAUACAUGCAAGUCGAGCGAACAGACGAGGAGCUUGCUCCUCUGACGUUAGCGGCGGACGGGUGAGUAACACGUGGAUAACCUACCUAUAAGACUGGGAUAACUUCGGGAAACCGGAGCUAAUACCGGAUAACAUGUUGAACCGCAUGGUUCAACAGUGAAAGACGGUCUUGCUGUCACUUAUAGAUGGAUCCGCGCCGCAUUAGCUAGUUGGUAAGGUAACGGCUUACCAAGGCAACGAUGCGUAGCCGACCUGAGAGGGUGAUCGGCCACACUGGAACUGAGACACGGUCCAGACUCCUACGGGAGGCAGCAGUAGGGAAUCUUCCGCAAUGGGCGAAAGCCUGACGGAGCAACGCCGCGUGAGUGAAGAAGGUCUUCGGAUCGUAAAACUCUGUUAUUAGGGCAGAACAAAUGUGUAAGUAACUAUGCACGUCUUGACGGUACCUAAUCAGAAAGCCACGGCUAACUACGUG
Molecule: ribosomal RNA, 497 nt
Filed under: uncultured bacterium
Lineage: Bacteria
Description: partial 16S ribosomal RNA
Rfam family: Bacterial small subunit ribosomal RNA
Source: RNAcentral